This is a non-coding RNA of Pteropus alecto (black flying fox), 119 nucleotides long. Lineage: Eukaryota; Metazoa; Chordata; Mammalia; Chiroptera; Pteropodidae. The record is from Rfam.
GUCUACGGCCAUGCCACCCUGAACAAGCCAGAUCUUGUCUGAUUUUGGAAGCUAAGCAGGGUUGGGCCUGGUUAGUACUUGGAUGGGAGACCAACUAGGAAGACUGGGCGCUGUAGGCA